RNAcentral lists this ribosomal RNA (504 nucleotides) under uncultured bacterium. Its description in RNAcentral is "partial 16S ribosomal RNA". It matches the Rfam family "Bacterial small subunit ribosomal RNA", at positions 28 to 523 of the family's 1533-position model. The record is from RNAcentral.
GAUGAACGCUAGCGGCAGGCUUAAUACAUGCAAGUCGAGGGGCAGCAUGAAUGUAGCAAUACAUUUGAUGGCGACCGGCAAACGGGUGCGGAACACGUACACAACCUUCCUAUAAGUGGGGAAUAGCCCAGAGAAAUUUGGAUUAAUACCCCGUAACAUAAUGAUGUGGCAUCACAUUAUUAUUAUAGCUACGGCGCUUAUUGAUGGGUGUGCGGCUGAUUAGAUAGUUGGCGGGGUAACGGCCCACCAAGUCUACGAUCAGUAGCUGAUGUGAGAGCAUGAUCAGCCACACGGGCACUGAGACACGGGCCCGACUCCUACGGGAGGCAGCAGUAAGGAAUAUUGGUCAAUGGACGCAAGUCUGAACCAGCCAUGCCGCGCGAAGGAUUAAGGUCCUCUGGAUUGUAAACUUCUUUUAUCUGGGACGAAAGAAGGCUAUUCUUAGUCACUUGACGGUACCAGAUGAAUAAGCACCGGCUAACUCCGUGCCAGCCGCCGCCGUAA